Molecule: ribosomal RNA, 588 nt
Filed under: Listronotus maculicollis
Lineage: Eukaryota; Metazoa; Arthropoda; Insecta; Coleoptera; Curculionidae
Description: partial small subunit ribosomal RNA
Rfam family: Eukaryotic small subunit ribosomal RNA
Source: RNAcentral
AUUCCGGAGAGGGAGCCUGAGAAACGGCUACCACAUCCAAGGAAGGCAGCAGGCGCGCAAAUUACCCACUCCCGGCACGGGGAGGUAGUGACGAAAAAUAACGAUACGGGACUCAUCCGAGGCCCCGUAAUCGGAAUGAGUACACUCUAAACCCUUUCGCAAGGAUCAAUUGGAGGGCAAGUCUGGUGCCAGCAGCCGCGGUAAUUCCAGCUCCAAUAGCGUAUAUUAAAGUUGUUGCGGUUAAAAAGCUCGUAGUCGAAUUUGUGUCUCGUGCCGCUGGUUCAUCGUCCGCGGUGUUAACUGGCGAGUCGCGAGACGUCCUGCCGGUGGGCUUAGCCCUCAUGGGCGGCCCAACUCAAUCCUGCCGCGGUGCUCUUUACUGAGUGUCGAGGUGGGCCGGCACGUUUACUUUGAACAAAUUAGAGUGCUUAAAGCAGGCUAAAACUUCGCCUGAAUACUGUGUGCAUGGAAUAAUGGAAUAGGACCUCGGUUCUAUUUUGUUGGUUUUCGGAACCCCGAGGUAAUGAUUAAUAGGAACGGAUGGGGGCMYUSGUWKWKCSWSSYWRKAGGUGAAAUUGUUGGACCGUC